AGCGAACGCUGGCGGCGUGCUUAACACAUGCAAGUCGAACGUGAAAGGGAGCAAUCCUGAGUAAAGUGGAGAACGGGUGAGUAACACGUAGGUAAUCUACCCUAAAGUCUGGAAUAACCUGCCGAAAGGCGAGCUAAUACUGGAUAGAGUGAUGGAACCCAUAAAGGGUUUUUCGGGAAAGGGUGGAAGCAAUUCCCUUUGCUUUAGGAUGAGCCUGCGUCCCAUCAGCUAGUUGGGAGAGUAAAAGCCUACCAAGGCAAUGACGGGUAGCUGGUCUGAGAGGAUGAUCAGCCACACUGGAACUGAAACACGGUCCAGACUCCUACGGGAGGCAGCAGUGGGGAAUCUUGCGCAAUGGGCGAAAGCCUGACGCAGCCACGCCGCGUGAGUGAAGAAGGCCUUCGGGUUGUAAAGCUCUGUCGCCCGGGACGAAAAGCUUUAAGGUGAAUAGCCUUAGAGUGUGACGGUACCGGGAAAGGAAGCACCGGCUAACUCCGUGCCAGCCGCCGCCGUAA
This 515-nucleotide ribosomal RNA is filed under the name uncultured bacterium. RNAcentral's name for it is "partial 16S ribosomal RNA". It matches the Rfam family "Bacterial small subunit ribosomal RNA", at positions 29 to 523 of the family's 1533-position model. The record is from RNAcentral.